GUCGCAGCAAAAUCUGCGACCGGGCGUGAGAACCCGAGUGACUCUAGGCGCAGUAGCGCCCCAAUCAUUGCUGGCGCUUUUUUU
RNAcentral lists this small RNA (84 nucleotides) under Halotalea alkalilenta. Its description in RNAcentral is "isrK Hfq binding RNA". It matches the Rfam family "isrK Hfq binding RNA". The record is from Rfam by way of RNAcentral. Lineage: Bacteria; Pseudomonadati; Pseudomonadota; Gammaproteobacteria; Oceanospirillales; Halomonadaceae.